RNAcentral lists this ribosomal RNA (694 nucleotides) under uncultured bacterium. RNAcentral's name for it is "partial 16S ribosomal RNA". It matches the Rfam family "Bacterial small subunit ribosomal RNA", at positions 9 to 714 of the family's 1533-position model. The record is from RNAcentral.
GGGUUUGAUCCUGGCUCAGGACGAACGCUGGCGGCGUGCUUAACACAUGCAAGUCGAACGGAAAGGCCCUGCUUUUGUGGGGUGCUCGAGUGGCGAACGGGUGAGUAACACGUGAGUAACCUGCCCUUGACUUUGGGAUAACUUCAGGAAACUGGGGCUAAUACCGGAUAGGAGCUCCUGCUGCACGGUGGGGGUUGGAAAGUUUCGGCGGUUGGGGAUGGACUCGCGGCUUAUCAGCUUGUUGGUGGGGUAGUGGCUUACCAAGGCUUUGACGGGUAGCCGGCCUGAGGGGGUGACCGGCCACAUUGGGACUGAGAUACGGCCCAGACUCCUACGGGAGGCAGCAGUGGGGAAUAUUGCACAAUGGGCGGAAGCCUGAUGCAGCAACGCCGCGUGCGGGAUGACGGCCUUCGGGUUGUAAACCGCUUUCGCCUGUGACGAAGCGUGAGUGACGGUAAUGGGUAAAGAAGCACCGGCUAACUACGUGCCAGCAGCCGCGGUGAUACGUAGGGUGCGAGCGUUGUCCGGAUUUAUUGGGCGUAAAGGGCUCGUANGUGGUUGAUCGCGUCGGAAGUGUAAUCUUGGGGCUUAACCCUGANCGUGCUUUCNAUACNGNUUGACUUGANGAANGUAGGNNANAAUGNAAUUCCUGNUGNANCGNUGNAAUGCNCANAUAUCANGANGAACACCANUG